RNAcentral lists this ribosomal RNA (274 nucleotides) under uncultured bacterium. RNAcentral's name for it is "partial 16S ribosomal RNA". It matches the Rfam family "Bacterial small subunit ribosomal RNA", at positions 523 to 796 of the family's 1533-position model. The record is from RNAcentral.
AUACGGAGGGUGCAAGCGUUAAUCGGAAUUACUGGGCGUAAAGCGCGCGUAGGCGGUUAUUUAAGUCAGAUGUGAAAUCCCUGGGCUCGACCUAGGAACUGCAUCUGAUACUGGGUAACUAGAGUUUUGGAGAGGUAAGUGGAAUUUCCGGUGUAGCGGUGAAAUGCAUAGAGAUCGGAAGGAACACCAGUGGCGAAGGCGACUUACUGGCCAAAAACUGACGCUGAGGUGCGAAAGCGUGGGUAGCAAACAGGAUUAGAAACCCUAGUAGUCC